Molecule: ribosomal RNA, 275 nt
Filed under: uncultured bacterium
Lineage: Bacteria
Description: partial 16S ribosomal RNA
Rfam family: Bacterial small subunit ribosomal RNA
Source: RNAcentral
AUACGAAGGGGGCUAGCGUUGUUCGGAAUCACAGGGCGUAAAGGGCUCGUAGGCGGUUUCGUAAGUCGGGUGUGAAAACUCAGGGCUCAACCCUGAGACGCCACUCGAUACUGCGAUGACUUGAGUCCGGUAGGGGAGCAGGGAAUUCCUGGUGUAGCGGUGAAAUGCGCAGAUAUCAGGAGGAACACCAUUAGCGAAGGCGCUGCUCUGGGCCGGUACUGACGCUGAGGAGCGAAAGCAUGGGGAGCAAACAGGAUUAGAAACCCCAGUAGUCC